UACGUAGGGUGCGAGCGUUAAUCGGAAUUACUGGGCGUAAAGCGUGCGCAGGCGGUUAUAUAAGACAGAUGUGGAAUCCCCCGGCUCAACCUGGGACCUGCAUUUGUGACUGUAUAGCUAGAGUACGGUAGAGGGGGAUGGAAUUCCGCGUGUAGCAGUGAAAUGCGUAGAUAAGCGGAGGAACACCGAUGGCGAAGGCAAUCCCCUGGACCUGUACUGACGCUCAGGCACGAAAGCGUGGGGAGCAAACAGG
This 253-nucleotide ribosomal RNA is filed under the name uncultured bacterium. Its description in RNAcentral is "partial 16S ribosomal RNA". It matches the Rfam family "Bacterial small subunit ribosomal RNA", at positions 524 to 776 of the family's 1533-position model. The record is from RNAcentral.